RNAcentral lists this ribosomal RNA (253 nucleotides) under uncultured bacterium. RNAcentral's name for it is "partial 16S ribosomal RNA". It matches the Rfam family "Bacterial small subunit ribosomal RNA", at positions 524 to 776 of the family's 1533-position model. The record is from RNAcentral.
UACGUAGGGUGCAGGCGUUAAUCGGAAUUACUGGGCGUAAAGCGUGCGCAGGCGGCUCCUUAAGUCAGAUGUGAAAGCCCCGGGCUUAACCUGGGAACUGCGUUUGAAACUGGGGGGCUAGAGUGUGGAAGAGGGGGGUGGAAUUCCAGGUGUAGCAGUGAAAUGCGUAGAGAUCUGGAGGAACACCGAUGGCGAAGGCAGCCCCCUGGGUUAACACUGACGCUCAUGCACGAAAGCGUGGGGAGCAAACAGG